UUUGAGCAAUGCCAAAUGAUCUGUUUGGUUUCCUAAUGCCACUGCCACAAUUUUGUUAGGACCAAACCACAUCAAAUUUAAAGUAAACAAAAAAAGAAGAUGAAGGCAGAAAGAAAAAGGCUUCAUUUGGUGGAAUAGUAAGAGGUUUAUGCUAUAUGGUGUUAUUUGGAUUUCAUAAUUAUAGAGUAAUACAUAAGAAGCAUGCAUAUAAGUACUGG
RNAcentral lists this long non-coding RNA (218 nucleotides) under Lathyrus oleraceus (garden pea). RNAcentral's name for it is "Pisum sativum (pea) long non-coding RNA (PSAT_LNC002397)". The record is from RNAcentral. Lineage: Eukaryota; Viridiplantae; Streptophyta; Magnoliopsida; Fabales; Fabaceae.